RNAcentral lists this transfer RNA (67 nucleotides) under Fukomys damarensis (Damara mole-rat). It matches the Rfam family "tRNA". From Rfam's summary of the family: Transfer RNA (tRNA) molecules are approximately 80 nucleotides in length. The record is from Rfam by way of RNAcentral. Lineage: Eukaryota; Metazoa; Chordata; Mammalia; Rodentia; Bathyergidae.
GGGGAUAUAACUUUGGGAAAGCACUUGCCUGGAAUGCAUGAGGCCCUGGGUUCAAUUCCCAGCCCUG